This 253-nucleotide ribosomal RNA is filed under the name uncultured bacterium. RNAcentral describes it as "partial 16S ribosomal RNA". It matches the Rfam family "Bacterial small subunit ribosomal RNA", at positions 524 to 776 of the family's 1533-position model. The record is from RNAcentral.
UACGUAGGGUGCAAGCGUUAAUCGGAAUUACUGGGCGUAAAGCGUGCGCAGGCGGUUAUGCAAGACAGAUGUGAAAUCCCCGGGCUCAACCUGGGAACUGCAUUUGUGACUGCAUGGCUAGAGUACGGUAGAGGGGGAUGGAAUUCACGGUGUAGCAGUGAAAUGCGUAGAUAUCGUGAGGAACACCAGAGGCGAAGGCGGUUACCUGGACAGUUACUGACGCUCAGGCACGAAAGCGUGGGGAGCAAAAGGG